RNAcentral lists this ribosomal RNA (447 nucleotides) under uncultured bacterium. RNAcentral's name for it is "bacterial SSU rRNA". It matches the Rfam family "Bacterial small subunit ribosomal RNA", at positions 355 to 825 of the family's 1533-position model. The record is from RNAcentral.
UCGGGAAUUUUGGGCAAUGGGCGAAAGCCUGACCCAGCAACGCCGCGUGAAGGAUGAAGUAUUUCGGUAUGUAAACUUCGAAAGAAUAGGAAGAAUAAAUGACGGUACUAUUUAUAAGGUCCGGCUAACUACGUGCCAGCAGCCGCGGUAAUACGUAGGGACCAAGCGUUGUUCGGAUUUACUGGGCGUAAAGGGCGCGUAGGCGGUGCGGUAAGUCACUUGUGAAAUCUCCGAGCUUAACUCGGAACGGCCAAGUGAUACUGCAGUACUAGAGUGCGGAAGGGGCAAUCGGAAUUCUUGGUGUAGCGGUGAAAUGCGUAGAUAUCAAGAGGAACACCUGAGGUGAAGACGGGUUGCUGGGCCGACACUGACGCUGAUGCGCGAAAGCCAGGGGAGCAAACGGGAUUAGAUACCCAGGUAGUCCCUGAGCGGGCUGGCAAGGCGCAU